This 517-nucleotide ribosomal RNA is filed under the name uncultured bacterium. Its description in RNAcentral is "bacterial SSU rRNA". It matches the Rfam family "Bacterial small subunit ribosomal RNA", at positions 534 to 1050 of the family's 1533-position model. The record is from RNAcentral.
GCAAGCGUUAUCCGGAAUCAUUGGGCGUAAAGCGCCUGUAGGUUGUUUAAUAAGUCUGUUGUUAAAGACUAGGGCUUAACCCUAGGAAAGCAAUGGAAACUACUAGACUAGAGUAUGAUAGGGGUAGAGGGAAUUUCUAGUGUAGCGGUGAAAUGCGUAGAUAUUAGGAAGAACACCGGUGGCGAAGGCGCUCUACUGGAUCAUUACUGACGCUCAGAGGCGAAAGCUAGGGUAGCAAAAGGGAUUAGAUACCCCUGUAGUCCUAGCCGUAAACGAUGGAUACUAGAUGUUGCGUUUAUUAUGCAGUAUCGUAGCUAACGCGUUAAGUAUCCCGCCUGGGGAGUACGCUCGCAAGGGUGAAACUCAAAUGAAUUGACGGGGACCCGCACAAGUAGUGGAGCAUGUGGUUUAAUUCGAAGAUACGCGCAGAACCUUACCAACACUUGACAUGUUCGUCGCGACUCUAAGAGAUUAGAGUUUUCGGUUCGGCCGGACGAAACACAGGUGCUGCAUGGCU